GAACGCUCGUAGCAAUACGGGAGUGGCAGACGGGUGAGUAACGCGUGGGAACAUACCCUCCGGUUCGGAAUAGCUCAGGGAAACUUGGAUUAAUACCGGAUACGGCCGAGAGGCGAAAGAUUUAUCGCCGGAGGAUUGGCCCGCGUUCGAUUAGCUUGUUGGUGAGGUAAUGGCUCACCAAGGCGAUGAUCGAUAGCUGGUCUGAGAGGAUGAUCAGCCACAUUGGGACUGAGACACGGCCCAAACUCCUACGGGAGGCAGCAGUGGGGAAUAUUGGACAAUGGGCGCAAGCCUGAUCCAGCCAUGCCGCAUGAGUGAUGAAGGCCUUAGGGUUGUAAAGCUCUUUCGCUCGGGACGAUAAUGACGGUACCGAGAUAAGAAGCCCCGGCUAACUUCGUG
This 399-nucleotide ribosomal RNA is filed under the name uncultured bacterium. RNAcentral's name for it is "bacterial SSU rRNA". It matches the Rfam family "Bacterial small subunit ribosomal RNA", at positions 64 to 507 of the family's 1533-position model. The record is from RNAcentral.